UCUUUUGAGAACAGAUAGUGCAACAGAAAAUAAACCGCCAAUUUGGUAAGGGUGAAAAGGUAAGGUAAGAGCUUACCGAUUAAAUAGUGAUAUUUAAUGCAUUGUAAACCUUAUAAAUUGAAAGAUCAAGUAAUUCGAUAGUUUUUAAACUAAUAGUUGCUCGCUAUAAUUCGAAUGGGUAGAUNGAUUGAACUUGGUAGCGAUAUCAAGUCUAGAUAAAUGAUAAGAAUCUGAUUAUAUCAGAUACAGAAUCCGGCUUAUAGACUUACAAUUUUU
This 276-nucleotide RNase P RNA is filed under the name Flammeovirgaceae bacterium. Its description in RNAcentral is "partial RNase P RNA component class A". It matches the Rfam family "Bacterial RNase P class A", at positions 92 to 367 of the family's 367-position model. Rfam says of the family: Ribonuclease P (RNase P) is a ubiquitous endoribonuclease, found in archaea, bacteria and eukarya as well as chloroplasts and mitochondria. Its best characterised activity is the generation of mature 5'-ends of tRNAs by cleaving the 5'-leader elements of precursor-tRNAs. The record is from RNAcentral. Lineage: Bacteria; Pseudomonadati; Bacteroidota; Cytophagia; Cytophagales; Flammeovirgaceae.